This 256-nucleotide long non-coding RNA is filed under the name Gossypium raimondii (Peruvian cotton). RNAcentral's name for it is "long non-coding RNA (GRAI_LNC007356)". The record is from RNAcentral. Lineage: Eukaryota; Viridiplantae; Streptophyta; Magnoliopsida; Malvales; Malvaceae.
UUACCAGAACACACAGCAAGAACACCAACAACAAUCGAGCCACACCGAACCGAAGUGCCUAGAACGAAAGAGAGGAAAAGAGAAAGGAAAAUUAGCAAAAAAUAAAAUUGGCAGGGAUUGAGAGAAUUGAAACGUCUAAAAUUUGGAAAAGAACUGAAAAAGAAAAGAAAAGAAAAAUCCCAAUUGAUAACCCCCAAAUCCCUUAAUUUUCUACUAUUAUCACUCCACAAAAAUAACCUCCCCAAAUCCCUCCAAA